CGUUUCACGAUACACUGUCGGCACCACUUGCACCGUUUCCUCUCAAAUCUCUAUAAAUUCACUCGUCUUCUCUCUUGUAAAGCACACCUUUCAGCUCUCAACCCUUCACACUUUGAGAGCCAAAUCUUUCUUCUAAUCUGAACUCAUCAUCGCUUCCUGAAAAGGAAGAUGUAGUUCCAUAACCAAUUUUCCAAACUAAAGUUAGAAAAAUGCAGCAUCACAACCAGAUUCGCAAACACAGAAGCAAGAUUAUUCUUGAUCAUACUAUCCAGAAGCAAGAUUAUCCUUGAUCAUGCAAGACCUUCUCUUCCGUCUUGUCAACCCGGACGUUCCUCACAUCUAUCCUCAAUCCGGUGAUGGCAAUCUGUGACAGAAGAGAGAGAGCACCACGAUAUGAGUACCGCACUCAUAUCCUUUCCUGAUUGCUUGCCUCGCCUUCUUGGCUUUCUUCACCUUCCCCACCUUCCUCUCCUUCGAGGCUUCCAUGUUCUCAUUUGGCAAGCUUCCCACCAAGAUUAUCAGAAAACAUCAUCACAAAAGGGAUUUGUUGUACGAGAGAUUUUCCUAUAAUGAGAAAUGAAUAUUUUCCCUUCUUCAAGCUACACAUUUGUUUGAUCUAUUAUACUUCUUGUUAUAAUGAGCUUAAAAUAUUAUAUUUGAUAACUAUCACACGGUGCGGUAUACUUGUUUAAAUUUCAUGUCUAAUAAAUUAGAUGCUUCACAUAAAAAUCUGUGACGCUAGACUUAAGAAUUAGAAAUCUAAAUCUUCCAUUAGGUAAACUUUAUGCGAAGCAUAGUUUACGAAUUUCGGGGACGAAAUUCCAUUAAGGGGGGAGGAAUGUAGCGCCCCAGAUUUUUAGUAAUACAAUUAAUGUCUUAAACUAGAAUUUAAGAUUAAAUGAAAUAGACUGACGGAUUUAUUCAGUAGACUAAUUGGCAUAAUAAUAUUAAUAAAUAAUAUUAAUGUGUAAUAUGUGCAAUAUAUAUUUGGUUUAUAAAUUUAUUAUGUUUAAAUAUUAUUGAGAUAAUAAUAUUACCGAUGAAACAACUAGACUCAAAACGGAUUUAGAACAGUAUUUUUAUGAGACUGCUUGUAUUAAAAGACCCGGUUUUUAAAACACAAUCUGCUAAAAUCGUUAGCCGCCUCCUACGUCAUUCUUACGUUUUAUUCCAUUUAAACCUAUUUAAAUCAUUUCAGCAGUCGCACGUUGUUCCGAUUCCUCCACUCAGUUUAUUAAAAACACAGCCUGCCUCCACUUUGGUUCUAAUAUAUUUUCUUCAGCACGAUCGUCCUUCUCGGUGCUUAAACAAUGCAAUGCUAGCCUGUCUUCACUCAGACAGCUACAAAGCAGUUCAUCUCUGCUGCUGUAAUAAUGGCACCCUUCUCCCUCUUUCUUUAUUCCUUCUUUCUCCUUCUUUUAAGACCGAGACACAGCAUUGAGAUUGAGAGUAGGAGAGUGAGUUGAGAGAAAGAGAUGAGAUGAGAUGAGAUGAGAUGAGAAAUAGAAGCAAGCAAGAGAUUAAGAGUAAGUAGAGAAUUGAGAGAGAAGCAGAAUUUGAGAGAGAAAGAAGGAGUGAAAUGAAGAGAGAAACAGAGGCAGAGAGGGAGAUCCGGCCGAUCCUUCAGUAGAGUCCCGGCCGAUUGUAGCAGACCGAGAGAGAGAAGAUGAGAGACCCGAAGCCGUGAACCCCAAGCAAACCCGAAGAUCCGGCGUGAGCCCAGCCAAAACCCACAACUCAGCACCGAUGGCUGGCGGACGGCGUCACCCAGCAGAGCCCAUCCCAUCCCGGCGUGACCCAGGACCCGAUCGUGGAGCCGUGAACCACGACCCGUCCAACCCAGCCGUGAAACCAUGAACCCAACGAACCCGUGCGUGAUCCAGCCAUGAUCCAUGACCCAGCCGUGAAGACCAUCGAUCCAGAAGCCCAUUCCAGCUGCGAUUCAGACCAGACCCGUGAACCUCGGCCCAACCCAGACGAUCCAGCUGAACCCGUGAACCCCGGCCCAACCCGUGACCCGUGAGCCCAGUCCAGCAAGCAGUAGCUGAGCCCAGUCCAGCCCAUCCCAGCAAGCAAGCCCAACCCAGUCGGCCCACGAACCAAUUUCAGCCCAGACCCGCUGAGCCUGACCCAGCAGUGAUCCAACCAUGACCUGAACCCGGAGACCCGACCCGCCGGUGACCCGUCUCCGGCAGAGUCUUCCGGCAACUUUUCCGGUAACCUUUCCGGCGACUUCCCGUGACCAAACUCACCGUUUUCACUAGAUUUUCUAGUAAAAUCCUUAAUGUGAGUUUCUGGGUUUUUAAUUAACUUAAUGGUAUAUACUUACAUGAAAUCAAUUAAUAAGUAUUUUAGAUUAUAACUUUGAUAAAUAUAGAAUUGAAUAUUUUGAUAAAUAACUUAUUAAUGUAUAUUAUAUUUAUUGAGUGUUUAAAUCAUAUGUAGAAUAAUAUGGAAAAUGAAUAAUCGGUGCUAUUAAAAAUAUUAGAGGAUGGUUUAAGUGUUAAAACUAAGAAUAAUAAUAACAUUAGGCAAAGAGGUUUUAUAAAUAGAAUUAGGAUUUGUGCUAAAUGAUGUUAACACUUUGUGUGGAUAUACCUAUAAUUUUUCAGAUGAUGACUUGAGAGACUGCAUGAAUUGGCUGUUAAUAGACAAAGACCAGAACUCAAGAGGUUUUAUAGCUAAGGACGCAUAGUUUAUAUUUUGUUUGUAGUCUUCUGUGUUUAUAGCAUUUUAUAUUGACAAAAUUGCUAAUGAUUUAUAUGUAUUCUUUUGUGUCAUUAUGGACACCUGUUUCCUUGUAUUUGUUAUAAGAAUUUUCUAAUGAAUAUCUAGAGGUAUUUAAUUUAAAA
This is a long non-coding RNA of Alnus glutinosa, 2852 nucleotides long. RefSeq lists it as uncharacterized. The transcript is spliced from 2 exons. The record is from RefSeq and is a predicted model, not a curated record. Lineage: Eukaryota; Viridiplantae; Streptophyta; Magnoliopsida; Fagales; Betulaceae.